Molecule: long non-coding RNA, 1343 nt
Filed under: Nicotiana benthamiana
Lineage: Eukaryota; Viridiplantae; Streptophyta; Magnoliopsida; Solanales; Solanaceae
Description: long non-coding RNA (NBEN_LNC003625)
Source: RNAcentral
AGCUAUGGAAAAUGUCUUCAAAACAAACUAGACUCACAAAUUUAAAUUAAGAGGUCACAGUUCUCACUUUAUACAUGUUAUUCCUAAACCUGGUAACACUUUUAAACCAAACAACAUUCAAGUAAAAUCCAAAUCCAACAUUUACAACAAGAUAUAGUGUCAGGAAAUGGAAAAUCGAAUAAGCUAAAACUAUGAGAACAUGAAACCAAUAUUUGUAAUUUCUUCAACUUUGUGUUUCAUAUCUUCACACAAGAGCUUAAUCAAAGCUUCAUUUCCCAAUCAUGGAUCAAAGAAAAUAGCUGGAAAUUAAUAAGGAAGCAAAGGGAAUGAAGAGUUAACAACAACAACAGCAGAAACAACCCAAAAUCAGCAAUAAAAUAGUACCAAAUAACAAACUCAAACCAAGUUUCGAAACCUCAAAACUCAAGCCAAUUUUCUACCCAAAUGUAAGACUUCAAAACCUUCCAAAAUUUCUAGCUAACAAAGAAGAUUAGAAAACCAGAAGCUAGAAAAAUUUGAGCAAUUUUCAGCGCUUUUUACUUGAGAGAAAAUACCCAGCCGUUUUCAAUUUUUUGUGUUUUUCAAUCUCUGAAUUUCCGUCCUCAACUUCAAGUAACAAUGCCUUUAUUGGCAAGCCAAUCGGGCAACCUUAAAGGUUCAGUUUUUGUACUUUUCCCCUUUUCUAAUUUUUGUUUUUAGAAUUUAGCACAAACCUUCAAUUAAAAAAAUACGAACAAAAGCUAAAUAAGGUCUCUUUUAAGCAAAAGUCAUUAAACUAAUCAACAAACAAACAAUCGACUGAGUAGUCCAUUAUGCCCUAAAAGUUAUCCUAAUUGCUCUGAGACAGAAAAGGAAAAAAAUGAAUAGUAUAAAAAGUAUAAAAAAGAAACAAAAAAUGAAUGAAGAAGGGGAAAAGAUAUACCGAAACGAAUACUUCAACAUGCUAGAAAAGGGGAGUAAUAGAUCCACUUGAGACUUCAAUGAGCACUAAACUCGGGCAAAUGGUGGGGAUUGUUACAUGAAUAUUAACCGAAUUUUUAUCCAUGGGAAAGGGUUCAUGCAGCAAUUCUCACCAUGUGCCAAAAUGGAAAUAAAGCAGAAGCUUGAAGAAAUUGGAGCAUUUGGGAUUUUAGGGUUAAAUUUUGAUCUAAGAUUCGAGGAGUUUGGGCAAGAUUCAAAGGAAACUGGUCUGAAAUUUGGGAAGAGGGGGUCGUGGUGGUUCUAUGGUAUUAUUUUGGUGGGGUUUGGAGGUGGCGCCGCCACCCUAAGGCGGUACUAGUACUAAGAGCUGAAAAUGGGGGUCUAGGGGUCUGUGAUGAUGGUUAUGUUGAGAGAGAUGAGUA